Molecule: ribosomal RNA, 609 nt
Filed under: Triticum aestivum (bread wheat)
Lineage: Eukaryota; Viridiplantae; Streptophyta; Magnoliopsida; Poales; Poaceae
Description: partial small subunit ribosomal RNA
Source: RNAcentral
AUGGGAGUCUUGCCAUGGAGCUGCCGCUGUGGACUCAACCCCACCCCCAGCAAGAACAGGGGUGCGCCCGCGCGUCCUCCUCCUCCUCCUCCUGCUGCCCGAGUAAGGAGGUCCAAAUACACGGGACAAUCUGUGAGAGCAAUGCCUAUGCGCGUGCUGACAGUUGGCAAGAAGAGGUCUCAGGGGACACAACUUCUUGUUGAAGAGUACAAGGAGAAACUCGGUCACUACUGCGAUGUUGAGGACACCCUCAUCAAAUCCAACCCAAAACUCACAAGCGAUGUUAAGGUGCAAAUUGAAGCAGAAGAUGCGUCUAUGAUGCAGCAGCUCAAGGCUGAAGAUUUUGUUGUUGUGUUGGAUGAAAACGGGAAGGAUGUCAUGUCUGAGCAGAUAGCUGAUCUGAUUGGGGAUGCUGGCAACACGGGAUCGUCAAGGCUCACAUUUUGUAUUGGCGGGCCAUAUGGUCUUGGAAUACAAGUACGAGAGCGGGCGGAUGCAACAAUUAGGUUAUCCUCACUGGUUUUGAACCACCAAGUCGCUUUAAUAGUUCUAAUGGAGCAGCUCUACAGGGCGUGGACAAUCAUCAAAGGACAAAAGUAUCAUCACUAG